Molecule: long non-coding RNA, 496 nt
Organism: Sapajus apella (tufted capuchin)
Lineage: Eukaryota; Metazoa; Chordata; Mammalia; Primates; Cebidae
Exons: 2
Source: RefSeq, a predicted model, not a curated record
CUCAUGUUCCAAACACCUCAUUAGGCCCACUUCCAACACUGGAGGCCACAUUUCAACAUGAGAUUUGGAAGGGACCAAACUUCCAAACCACAUGAGAUAUGCUUAAGCUAAAGAGUUCAUUGCAGAUGCAAAGACCCCAUAUCCAUUCAUCUUGUUAAACCAAAACUUGGGAUAGAUUGGUUGGUGAAUUCAAUGAAGAUAAAUGAAACUUGGAGACAGAUGGAUCUUUAAACAAAUUGCUUCUGCAGAUUUAUUCAGGUGGUUCUGAUGAAGUGAAACAUCACAUGACCAAAGUAUUUAGGGAGUCUGGUGGCAUCAUUUUGAGUAUCUACUAAUACGAAUCAGAAGCAACAAGGUGCCAGAGAUGGUCUCUAGAACACAGCUGAAAUUCGUUAUAGAUCCAGAGGGAAGAACGCCACCUACUGAACAUCGCAUUUCAAAACGUAUCUUUUCAUCAUGAGAACUUAAUGAUCAUAAUAAACUUAAUAAGACGUAA